AUUGAACGCUGGCGGCAGGCUUAACACAUGCAAGUCGAACGGUAGCAGGUAAGUACUUGUACUUAUGCUGACGAGUGGCGGACGGGUGAGUAAUGUUUGGGAAUCUAGCUUAUGGAGGGGGAUAACGACGGGAAACUGUCGCUAAUACCGCGUAGAAUCGGAAGAUGAAAGUGCGGGACCUUAGGGCCGCAUGCCAUAGGAUGAGCCCAAGUGGGAUUAGGUAGUUGGUGGGGUAAAGGCCUACCAAGCCUGCGAUCUCUAGCUGGUCUGAGAGGAUGGCCAGCCACACCGGGACUGAGACACGGCCCGGACUCCUACGGGAGGCAGCAGUGGGGAAUAUUGCGCAAUGGGGGCAACCCUGACGCAGCCAUGCCGCGUGAAUGAAGAAGGCCUUCGGGUUGUAAAGUUCUUUCGGUGUUGAGGAAGGAUGUUGUGUUAAUAGCGCAACAAAUUGACGUAAACACAGAGAGCCCCG
This 475-nucleotide ribosomal RNA is filed under the name Aggregatibacter sp. oral taxon E49. Its description in RNAcentral is "bacterial SSU rRNA". It matches the Rfam family "Bacterial small subunit ribosomal RNA", at positions 30 to 495 of the family's 1533-position model. The record is from RNAcentral. Lineage: Bacteria; Pseudomonadati; Pseudomonadota; Gammaproteobacteria; Pasteurellales; Pasteurellaceae.